UAGUGAUGUGGACAGGAGUCGAAG
RNAcentral lists this non-coding RNA (24 nucleotides) under Cricetulus griseus (Chinese hamster). Lineage: Eukaryota; Metazoa; Chordata; Mammalia; Rodentia; Cricetidae. The record is from RNAcentral.